RNAcentral lists this ribosomal RNA (253 nucleotides) under uncultured bacterium. RNAcentral's name for it is "partial 16S ribosomal RNA". It matches the Rfam family "Bacterial small subunit ribosomal RNA", at positions 524 to 776 of the family's 1533-position model. The record is from RNAcentral.
UACAGAGGGUGCAAGCGUUAAUCGGAGUUACUGGGCGUAAAGGGCGCGUAGGCGGUGAUGUGGGUGUGAUGUGAAAGCCCUGGGCUUAACCUAGGAAGUGCAUCGCAAACUACAUGACUAGAGUAUAUGAGAGGGUGGCGGAAUUUCCGGUGUAGCGGUGAAAUGCGUAGAGAUCGGAAGGAACGUCAAUGGCGAAGGCAGCCGCCCGGCAUAAUAAUGACGCUGAGGCGCGAAAGCGCGGGGAGCGAACAGG